GCCAAUGAUUUCAAAAUUCAGUACAGCAGUGUUGUUCGCCUCUUUUUGCUUCCAAAGUCUAACCAGCCACAUACUUUUGUUAUUGUUAGUCUUGACCCUCCUAUCCGUAAGGGGCAAACUUUGUAUCCACACAUUGUGUUGCAGUUUGAUACUGACAAUGUGGUCCAAAACACUUUGUCAAUUAAUGAAGACAUUUUGAACACAAAGUACAAGGACAAAUUAGAAGCAUCUUAUAAGGGACUCAUUCAUGAUGUUUUCACAACGAUAUUGCGGGGCUUGUCUGGUGCUAAAGUAACUAAGCCAGGAAAAUUCCGUAGCUGUCAAGAUGG
Molecule: unclassified non-coding RNA, 329 nt
Filed under: Hevea brasiliensis (rubber tree)
Lineage: Eukaryota; Viridiplantae; Streptophyta; Magnoliopsida; Malpighiales; Euphorbiaceae
Source: RNAcentral